CCAGCAGCUGCGGUAAUUCCAGCUCCAAUAGCGUAUAUUAAAGUUGUCGCAGUUAAAAAGCUCGUAGUCGAAUGUGUGCAGAUUAGUUGCUUUGUGGGCGCCUCUUGGCAGCAAUGCUUUGGGGGGUUCGUUUGGCAAGGUUUUUAAUGGUACGUAGCUUGGAUGUUUAAAGUUUUGUCGGGUGCUUAAGUGUGCUCGGCGGGGCGGCAUCCUGAUUACUGUGAAAAAAUUAGAGUGUACCAGGCGGUCGGUUCGGUUCGACUGAAUAGAUUAGCAUGGAAUGAUGGAAGAGGACGCGGUUUCCACUUUUGUUGGUCGGUGGAGGACGUUGUAAUGAUUAAGAGGGACAGUUGGGGGCAUUCGUAUUUAAUAGCUAGAGGUGAAAUUCAAGGACUUAUGAAAGACGGACUUCUGCGAAAGCAUUUGCCAAGGAUGUUUUCAUUGAUCAAGAACGAAAGU
RNAcentral lists this ribosomal RNA (459 nucleotides) under uncultured eukaryote. RNAcentral describes it as "SSU rRNA". It matches the Rfam family "Eukaryotic small subunit ribosomal RNA", at positions 567 to 990 of the family's 1831-position model. The record is from RNAcentral.